CCUGGUUACAAUGGAGGACAGAUUAACCACAUCUUAUGAAGACAUCAUUAAAUCUGGGGUGUAGGGGGAGCAGGUAGACACUAACUCAACGGGUCAGGCAGCAUCUCUGGAUAAAAGGAAUAGGUGACGUUUUGGGUGGAGGCCCUUCUUCAGGGGGAGAAGUUGUGUAUAAAAUAGAACAAUGGGAACAAAUAAUAAAAUUAUUAAAAUCUGCACCGUUGGUGUUUAAAUAGCAAAUUGGUUUUGAUAUGGGUAAGUGCAAGAUUGUGCAUUUUAAGAAA
Molecule: long non-coding RNA, 281 nt
Organism: Amblyraja radiata (thorny skate)
Lineage: Eukaryota; Metazoa; Chordata; Chondrichthyes; Rajiformes; Rajidae
Exons: 2
Source: RefSeq, a predicted model, not a curated record